AUGCAAUAUAUAACAGAAUGUCAACAAAACAAUCAUGGACCUCGAUGUCGAGUGGUGAAUGAAAUGGAUGCAUUGUUGAUUUUUAUUGAGAAUGUGUUCCCAAACCCUAUAACUUCAAAGCUAGCCAUAGAGGGUUUGAACAGCCUAGGUGUGGAGACCAUAGAUGACCUACAGUUUUUGAAAGAUGAUGAUCUAGGUGGCUUUCUGAGACCGAUUGAAGCAAGAAAACUAAUAGCCCAAAUCCCAAAUAUUGCCUCCACUCUGCAAAACACUGCCAAUGAUUUGUCUGCUGAAUAUAAUUCUGAUGCAUCAGGUUCACCUGCUCCUGGAUGCUCAGUUUCACCAUCCAGCUCUUCAAGUGGAAGACGAGAGAACCCACUGACAGCCAGUGUGUACAUGGUGGCAGUAGACCAGAUGAUUGUAAAUGACCAUCUCUUGAGUUUUACAGAAGCCCUGUAUCUGAUGUUCUCUCUUUACUAUAUAUUGAACAUCAGUUACCCUGUAGAACUGGGAGCCACACUAGAAUUCUUGCAAAGGUGCAUCUUUAGGAUAAAUCCUCAUAAAGGUACCAAGGUGGAAAAGAGAGAGAAAAAGAGAGCGUACUCUGUCAACCCCAGAGUAUUGAGUCUGACAUCAAAAAUUGCUGCAUUUGAUUGGGGAGAGUAACAGAUGUGGUCUUUCAGAAGAUUGACAUUUCGCUGAAGAACAGGACAGACCGACUUUUUGUACUUCAGUGCAGCGCUUUGUUGCUUAAAUCAUUUUUAUUACCUUGUGACGUGAUUAGGAUUUAGUUUAAAUUUAUUUCUUUAUUUGAUUGGGACAGUGCAUGUUAAUGAACAAACAUGGAAUACAUGCAUGUAAACAUGCUGGAUUGUAGCCAAAGGCUAAUUUCCAUCCGUAGUCCCACGGGCUAAAAUCACACUGGUCACAAAACAUUACAUAAUAAAAUUUACAUCUACAGUUAGUACAUCUUUUAUCAAUAAAUUAGCUAAAGCCCUGUAUACAAUAUUCACAUAAUACUUGAAAAUUCAUUCAACUUCAAAAUUAUCAGAAUCCAGGCCCAGUGUUUUUGUUUCUUUUAAACUGAACACAUUUGUGUUCUGAAACAUGCUUUAUCCAUGUUCUCCAUGUGACAUGUUCAGGAUUAUCAGAAUUAAUGUCGAUUUUUUUUUUUUUUUUUUUUAAUUGAACAAAUUUGUUUUCUAAAACAUGACUUUUGCUGGGAAGUGUUUUUCCAUUGUUUGAUCUUGAAGGUUUGCUAUAUAAUAAAAAGCUGAAGUUGUUUACAGCAAUACUCUGGCUACCAUAAUUUACCGAUAACAUUUUACAAAAAUUUGUGUUUCAAGAGUAUUUUUAAUUUGUUUUUAGCGUUACUUCUGUCACACAGUAUACAAAGAUUUCCCUCUACAUUUGGUUUAAAUAAAUAAAUUCACUAGAAAAAGAUUAUGGCAUGAAAACAUGUAAGCCCAGAUUUGCUAACUAUUUGUGGCAGUGCACACUUUCUGAAUGUGUCAGGGUUUUCAGAAGACAUGAUAGAAAGGCAUGUACAGUGAUUAUUGCAUCUUUAUUGGAUAUGCAUUUGUAGGAAAUUUCCUUUAUGAAAGCGUCCCUUAACCCUUUUUGUGCCUGACCUGCCAGUAAUGGUUGCUAAUUGCACUUAUUUUUUAUUUGGUCAUUAUGGAAGGGAGCUGCUGCAAUUCUGUUCUUGCACAUUGAUAGUUUACUCGUAGAAAACAUUCAAAUUCAUCCUGAAGUUAGUUGUAUUUUCUCUGCCAAAAACAAUAUUAGCACAUUUUAAGUUAAGAUGCUUGCUAUUUACCUUUAAUGUGAUAAAACUGAAAAUCUGUCUUGUACUCUCAGGUUGUAUAACUUUCUUUGUGGUUAGCAGAACAAAUUAAUUUAUUUUGACUAAUGUACACCGAGGAAGUUUAAGAACCACUGGCUUAUAGAUUUGGCUUUUUUGUGAUAAAAAAAGCAAUUUAUUUGCAAUGAAAAUUUAGAAAAUCUUUGAAAAGUGGAAAUAAAGUGCUUUAUUAAGAGAAGAGUGUUUAUUAAAAAUAAAGUAUUUAUUGGGUAGGCUUAGGGGUCGGUGUAGAAGGGCUUUUAUUCUCACAACAAUGUAGCAUCCAUUUAACAAUUUUAAUAAAUAUAAUCAUUUGCACUCUGAUAAUUAUUGGAUCCUGUUAAUCUACAAAAAUAGUAAGGUGCAACUAUCUGCCGAUAUAGAUAGCAUCUAAUUAGUAUUUACACUUACUGCAAAUUUUAUAAUUAUAUUUAUUAAAUGAAAAUUAUUUACACCUAAUGUAAAUAGCAUUACGUAAAAAUUAAUUGGGUUGUAGCUCGUUGUCUAGGUGACUGUGAUUUUAAAUAGGUGUCGUUUGUGUUUUAACGUUUAGCUCAAGAAUAGAGAAGUUCGAAUAGCCUAUGUGAAUAUUACCAACUUCACUAAACUCCUUCUUGAGUUAAGAACUGACCACAUUUCUUUAUAUUUGAGUCCUAGUUCAAACACUAUGAAACGCUCCAUUAAAGUAUACAGAGCUCUGAAACACUGCCAGCGGGACAUUAAACAGGAAGUGUCUGUCCGAGCUCAAAACAGGUUUUACGUGGGAACGCAAAGUUUCUCGGGGGAAGGCAAAAGAUUUGCAAAAAAAUUUCCACCACCACGUCCCUUUGAGGGCUCCGUAGUAAAUAGCAUCUACUGCUGGUUAUUUCGGAUUUUGAUAUGGAAAUCAUGACAAUUAGCUUACCUUAACAAUAAAUGGUUUUCCAGAAGUGGUGUAACAAGUGGGUUGGACAGGAGUGUGUGUUUGGAUGAGGAUACCAAUAAGUGAAACGCAUACUCGAAAUGUGACCUCUUUAACCCAUCCCAGUGAGUGGUGAGCACACACACCCCCGGAGCAGUGCAGGGAGCAAUUAGGAUAAGUCGCAACAUGCUGGCCGUGAGACUCGAACCGGUAACUCUUGGGUUAUAAGCCCGACUCUCUAACCACUAAGCUACAACUGACCCCACAGUAAUAAAAAUGCUCUAACAGCCACAAGAGAAAACUGAUGCCUUUCACAAUUAACCACAGCGGCAAAAAAAAACAAAAAAACAACAGGUUUUAUAAACAACACAGUCCAGCGCCAGAUGGCCUCUUUAACAAACGAACGAUAUGUAUGAUAUGCAUAACAACAAUAGUAGACAAUAGUAGGCUAAAGGCUGACUAUAAAUCAAGGAAACAACAUCACCAAUGGAUCACCAAUAAAGUUUAGAAAAGAUGCGCAAUUUAACCUAAUGUCUUCAGUGGCACAGGCACUAGUGUGGAAGCCUUGUUUAUUUGAUGCUUGUUUCAAAGUCCUUGGUUCGAAUCUGUAUU
This 3356-nucleotide long non-coding RNA is filed under the name Carassius auratus (goldfish). RNAcentral's name for it is "lncRNA (ENSCARG00000041746.1)". The record is from RNAcentral. Lineage: Eukaryota; Metazoa; Chordata; Actinopteri; Cypriniformes; Cyprinidae.